This 442-nucleotide ribosomal RNA is filed under the name uncultured eukaryote. RNAcentral's name for it is "bacterial SSU rRNA". It matches the Rfam family "Eukaryotic small subunit ribosomal RNA", at positions 328 to 773 of the family's 1831-position model. The record is from RNAcentral.
GCGGGGUAGAGGCCCGCCGCGGUAACGACGGGUAACGGGGAAUCAGGGUUCGAUUCCGGAGAGGGAGCCCGAGAAACGGCUACCACUUCCAAGGAAGGCAGCAGGCGCGCAACUUACCCUAAUCUCGAUUCGAGGAGGUAGUGACAAGAAAUACCGAUGCGGGACCCUACGGGUGCCGCGUUCGGAAUGAGUACGAUUCGAACCACCUAACGAGGAACGAUCGGAGGGCAAGUCUGGUGCCAGCAGCCGCGGUAAUUCCAGCUCCAAUAGCGUACGUUAAAGUUGCUGCAGUUAAAAAGCUCGUAGUUGAACGUUCGGGUUCCGCGGGACGGGGCCGCCCCGCGAGGGACGGCGCCGCCCCGGGGCUCGUGAUAUCUUAUCUCGCCGCCCGUCGCGAGGCGGACGGAGGGAUGGAUGAGGUUACCUGGAAAAAAUCGGGGCG